RNAcentral lists this ribosomal RNA (212 nucleotides) under uncultured anaerobic ammonium-oxidizing bacterium. RNAcentral describes it as "partial 16S ribosomal RNA". The record is from RNAcentral.
CCCUUCCGCACUCUAGCCUUGCAGUAUCAGAUGCUGUUCUUCCGUUAAGCAGAAGGCUUUCACAACUGACUUACAAAGCCGCCUACGUGCUCUUUACGCCCAAUAAUUCCGAACAACGCUUGCCGCCUCUGUAUUACCGCGGCUGCUGGCACAGAGUUAGCCGUGGCUUCCUCCGGAGCCUUAGUCAAGUAAGGAUACUAUUAGCACCCUUA